This 165-nucleotide ribosomal RNA is filed under the name uncultured bacterium. RNAcentral's name for it is "partial 16S ribosomal RNA". It matches the Rfam family "Bacterial small subunit ribosomal RNA", at positions 326 to 484 of the family's 1533-position model. The record is from RNAcentral.
ACGGGGGGACUCCUACGGGAGGCAGCAGUAGGGAAUCUUCCACAAUGGGCGCAAGCCUGAUGGAGCAACACCGCGUGAGUGAAGAAGGGUUUCGGCUCGUAAAGCUCUGUUGUUAGAGAAGAACGUGCGUGAGANCAACUGUUCACCCANUGGNGUNAGUUACNU